UCCUCUUCAUUUCCCUCAGCAUUCUGGCAGUCCUCGACCCUUCUGACGAAUUUAUUUUCAGCUCUACUAAACCCUGUUCUAAGUAUCUCAAUCGUUUGUUGGCGCUAACAGCCAUGUCUUUCCAUUUCUCAAUCAGCUUUUGGUUGGCUUCUUGAAUUUCAUGGUGCUCACUUUCACAUUCUUGAAUCUUUUUGCACAAUUGGUUGUACUUGACCUGUGCUUCAGCCUUUCAUCGAUGAUCCUAUGACCUCGAGCAAACCCGGGUUGACCCAGACCAUUAUGAUUAUCUUCUAACCAGCUGGGAUAGUAUGGAGCAUAACCAGCAUGGUACCUGUCUGGCUAAAUAGUGUCCCUUCCCAUGAUGAUUUUACAGUGCCACAUGUGUUGAGCUUGGCACUUGUGAGGGCUAUCAUCAUCUUGAAACUCGGCCCGGAAGUGACUCAUCUUGUCAAACCUUGGUACAACCUGCUUCCUGCCAGCUUGUCUCAUAAUUCGAAGAGGGACAUAAGGAUAAGUUCCUCCCAAACCAAUAAGUAUUAGAAACGGUGCAUCCCGAGAUCGGGCAAUAAACUCUUCAG
Molecule: long non-coding RNA, 578 nt
Filed under: Nicotiana benthamiana
Lineage: Eukaryota; Viridiplantae; Streptophyta; Magnoliopsida; Solanales; Solanaceae
Description: long non-coding RNA (NBEN_LNC029583)
Source: RNAcentral